AUAGACAUGCAAGUCGAGCGAACAGAAGGGAGCUUGCUCCCGGAUGUUAGCGGCGGACGGGUGAGUAACACGUGGGUAACCUGCCUGUAAGACUGGGAUAACUCCGGGAAACCGGAGCUAAUACCGGAUAGUUCCUUGAACCGCAUGGUUCAAGGAUGAAAGACGGUUUCGGCUGUCACUUACAGAUGGACCCGCGGCGCAUUAGCUAGUUGGUGGGGUAAUGGCUCACCAAGGCGACGAUGCGUAGCCGACCUGAGAGGGUGAUCGGCCACACUGGGACUGAGACACGGCCCAGACUCCUACGGGAGGCAGCAGUAGGGAAUCUUCCGCAAUGGACGAAAGUCUGACGGAGCAACGCCGCGUGAGUGAUGAAGGUUUUCGGAUCGUAAAGCUCUGUUGUUAGGGAAGAACAAGUGCGAGAGUAACUGCUCGCACCUUGACGGUACCUAACCAGAAAGCCACGGCUAACUACGUGCCAGCAGCCGCGGUAAUACGUAGGUGGCAAGCGUUGUCCGGAAUUAUUGGGCGUAAAGGGCUCGCAGGCGGUUUCUUAAGUCUGAUGUGAAAGCCCCCGGCUCAACCGGGGAGGGUCAUUGGAAACUGGGAAACUUGAGUGCAGAAGAGGAGAGUGGAAUUCCACGUGUAGCGGUGAAAUGCGUAGAGAUGUGGAGGAACACCAGUGGCGAAGGCGACUCUCUGGUCUGUAACUGACGCUGAGGAGCGAAAGCGUGGGGAGCGAACAGGAUUAGAUACCCUGGUAGUCCACGCCGUAAACGAUGAGUGCUAAGUGGUUAAGGGGGUUUCCGCCCCUUAGUGCUGCAGCUAACGCAUUAAGCACUCCGCCUGGGGGAGUACGGUCGCAAGACUGAAACUCAAAGGAAUUGACGGGGGCCCGCACAAGCGGUGGAAGCAUGUGGUUUAAUUCGAAGCAACGCGAAGAACCUUACCAGGUCUUGACAUCCUCUGACACCCUAGAGAUAGGCUUUCCUUCGGGACAAAUGA
This 1002-nucleotide ribosomal RNA is filed under the name Bacillus sp. (in: firmicutes). Its description in RNAcentral is "bacterial SSU rRNA". It matches the Rfam family "Bacterial small subunit ribosomal RNA", at positions 49 to 1034 of the family's 1533-position model. The record is from RNAcentral. Lineage: Bacteria; Bacillati; Bacillota; Bacilli; Caryophanales; Bacillaceae.